This 443-nucleotide ribosomal RNA is filed under the name uncultured Anoxybacillus sp. RNAcentral's name for it is "bacterial SSU rRNA". It matches the Rfam family "Bacterial small subunit ribosomal RNA", at positions 941 to 1382 of the family's 1533-position model. The record is from RNAcentral. Lineage: Bacteria; Bacillati; Bacillota; Bacilli; Caryophanales; Anoxybacillaceae.
GUGGUUUAAUUCGAAGCAACGCGAAGAACCUUACCAGGUCUUGACAUCCCCUGACAACCCGAGAGAUCGGGCGUUCCCCUUCGGGGGGACAGGGUGACAGGUGGUGCAUGGUUGUCGUCAGCUCGUGUCGUGAGAUGUUGGGUUAAGUCCCGCAACGAGCGCAACCCUCGACCUUAGUUGCCAGCAUUCAGUUGGGCACUCUAAGGUGACUGCCGGCUAAAAGUCGGAGGAAGGUGGGGAUGACGUCAAAUCAUCAUGCCCCUUAUGACCUGGGCUACACACGUGCUACAAUGGGCGGUACAAAGGGUCGCGAACCCGCGAGGGGGAGCCAAUCCCAAAAAGCCGCUCUCAGUUCGGAUUGCAGGCUGCAACUCGCCUGCAUGAAGCCGGAAUCGCUAGUAAUCGCGGAUCAGCAUGCCGCGGUGAAUACGUUCCCGGGCCUU